Exaiptasia diaphana is the source of this 275-nucleotide long non-coding RNA. RefSeq lists it as uncharacterized. NCBI's taxonomy places the organism in Eukaryota, Metazoa, Cnidaria, Anthozoa, Actiniaria, Aiptasiidae. The record is from RefSeq and is a predicted model, not a curated record. The transcript has 3 exons.
GUUCAUUUCUUUGAUGCUAAAGCACAAAGAGUAAGUUCUUAUUGAACAUAUCUCACAACAGUCUAUAUUCACUGACUAACGAAGCUUUAAAAUGAGGACUCUCGUUGUUGUUGGAUUACUCAUCGCCAYCAUGUCCAUGCUUGUCGAUGGCUUACCGGAUCAGAAAAAGAAGGCAAUGAAAGCUAAGAAAGUUCCAUUGGAGAUAAAGAAAGACGAGAAGAAUAUAGUGUCACUACAAAGUGAGGUGACAGAAAAGAAAGCAAUAAAACAGCAAG